RNAcentral lists this ribosomal RNA (667 nucleotides) under Kudoa neurophila. RNAcentral describes it as "LSU rRNA". It matches the Rfam family "Eukaryotic large subunit ribosomal RNA", at positions 70 to 644 of the family's 3401-position model. Lineage: Eukaryota; Metazoa; Cnidaria; Myxozoa; Multivalvulida; Kudoidae. The record is from RNAcentral.
UGUGAUUCCCUUAGUAACUGCGAGUGAAGCGGGAAAAGCCCAUCGUUUAAUCUCCCCGUCAGAGUGGCGGGGCGAAAUGUAACGGUAUGGAUAGGUUCUCUACCAACAAGGUCCGAUCAAAGUCCUCCGGAUUGAGGUGCCGAAGAGGGUGACAGCCCCGUAUGUGAUUGGACUGAGUUGGGCAGGUGGCCGAUUCCGAGAGUCGGGUUGUUUGGGACUGCAACCUAAAGCAGGUGGUAAACUCCACCCAAGGCUAAAUAUUGACACGAAACCGAUAGCGAACAAGUACUGUGAAGGAAAGUUGAAAAGAACUCUGAAAAGAGAGUUAAAAGUACGUGAAACCGCUAACGGGGAAGCGGAAGGCAGUGUCGAGAUCGAGUGAGUGAGUCGGCUCAAGCAUGCUUGAGUGGGCUAGCUUUGCUUGAUGCGUCAGGGCUAUUGGUGUGCGACGGUUCAAUCGUCAGCAUGGCUUUCACAGCAAUGUAUUUUGCGUGUGGAUGCGGCUGGCGAUCCGCCUCGUGCGCUGAUGCUGGUACAGGAGCGUUGGUGAUGUAUUGUCGGUUGGUGCGGUGUGGUGGUUCGCACUGGUCACAGUGUGGCUACGUGCGGACAAGUCAUGUGGUAGGUCAACAACCAAUGCUAGUUCCUGGCGUGAUACCCAACUUUC